Molecule: ribosomal RNA, 429 nt
Filed under: Bacteroidota bacterium
Lineage: Bacteria; Pseudomonadati; Bacteroidota
Description: Bacteroidetes bacterium partial 16S ribosomal RNA
Rfam family: Bacterial small subunit ribosomal RNA
Source: RNAcentral
UAGGGAAUCUUCCGCAAUGGACGCAAGUCUGACGGAGCAACGCCGCGUGAGUGAAGAAGGAUUUCGGUUCGUAAAACUCUGUUGUUAGAGAAGAACAGCGCAUAGAGUAACUGUUAUGCGUGUGACGGUAUCUAACCAGAAAGCCACGGCUAACUACGUGCCAGCAGCCGCGGUAAUACGUAGGUGGCAAGCGUUGUCCGGAUUUAUUGGGCGUAAAGCGAGCGCAUGCGGUCAAUUAAGUCUGAUGUGAAAGCCCCCGGCUCAACCGGGGAGGAUCAUUGGAAACUGGUUGACUUGAGUGCAGAAGAGGAGGGUGGAAUUCCAUGUGUAGCGGUGAAAUGCGUAGAUAUAUGGAGAAACACCAGUGGCGAAGGCGACUCUCUGGUCUGUAACUGACGAUGAGGCUCGAAAGCGUGGGUAGCGAACAGG